AUCAAUUCAGUAUAAACCAAAUGUAUUCCUCGCGAGACUAACUACAAAAAAGAAGAAAAUGGAGAAUCGAAAGUAUAUAUUUCAGGGGAGGGGGAAACAUGAUAGGUCAGAGGCAUUAGAUGUUCGAUCUAUUGCUCAUUCGAGCUAUGACAUCAGAGGCAUUAGCGACAUAUUCAUCUAUGGUUGUUUUGAGAUCAGCAUAGUCUUGAUGAACUGCCACAUUUUCUUCAUGAGCCUAGGAAUUUAAAAAAGAGGUAUUUUAGUAAUUUGGAUAAGGGGUAUUUUGAUAAUUUGGGUGAGGAUAUUUUUGAAAUUUGGAAGCAGGGGUAUAUUUUGGCUUUAAGGGUAUUAGGUGGGUUAAACUAUGGAUUUUAGGGAUUUGGGGGUUGAGAUUCGGAUUCUUUGGAUUCUCUAGGUUUCCGCAGAGUCGGUUUGACUGGUGUUCGAGAGCGAGUUGGGGGGUUCAGAUAGAGGACGGAACAAAAGUCGGGUGUUGACACCAGCUGUUAUUAUCCAUUUCUGGUCGUUGAAAUUUCCUUGGCAAGAUUUGGUUUUUCUCCCUCACAGAUGCUCGUAAGGUCUAGUCUUUUUCUCUUCUCGUUCUGCAGAGGGAAAGAGAAACAUAGAUAGAGAACAAGACCUAAUGAUAUUUUACAAAGAUCUUCAAUUUCAUUAGCAGAUCGAGUUGAGGAAUGAAAAGGAGAUAGGGAAGAAAGGAAACUGGUUUGUUGCAAUGAAGAAAGCUUUCAGCCCAGAAUCCAAGGAGAAGAAAGAUGAAGAAAGCAGUAAAUCUAAGAAGAAAUGGUUUGGGAAAGAGAAACACCUACAUCCCUCUACUUCCUCAUUUUAAAGUUGAAUCUGCUUACACAGUGCCUCCGUUUCCCUAAAAUUAUCCUCCUCCCGAGGAAGUGCAACUCAUCAAAGCGAAAAAUGAAUAGAGCAAGUAUGCAUAUUCUAUUGUGAUUGCCACUGCUAUGGCUGCUGAGGCCGCAACAAUAGGUCGUGUCGGCAUGGCCCGUGAACCUUCUGGUGCCACUCACCGUUUGACCUUCGACUUGGUGAAGUCGUAAUUUCACUCUGACUAUGACGGCACUAACAACUACUACAACUACUGUGCUGAUAACGAUGCGUUCCUUGAGUGUCACCCCUCUGAGAUAUUUGUGAAGGACCAACAAAUCAAGCAGAUUUUGCUCCCAGGGCAGAGUAAGAAUGGUGUUUAUGAGUUUCGAUUAACUUCUCUUCAGUCACUUCGUCCAGAGAAUAAGCCUCUCACACAUGGCACCUUCGUUGGUGAAUGUGUUAAGUGCUGAUGUAUGGCAUCGCAGAUAAGGCCAUCCUUUCAUCAGAUUACCUCUUAUGUUCUUCAUUCACAUCACCUACUUACGGUUUCAUCUUCUUUAUUAUUCUGUGAUUCUUGUCAAUUAAGUCAUCAGUUACUAUUUACUAUUUGUAUUAAGAGGAGCUCCUUGUGAUGUUUGGGGACCAGCUCCUAGGGCCUGUACUAAUGGAUUUCGGUUUUACAUUUCUUUUAUUGAUGA
Nelumbo nucifera (sacred lotus) is the source of this 1538-nucleotide long non-coding RNA. RefSeq lists it as uncharacterized. The record is from RefSeq and is a predicted model, not a curated record. NCBI's taxonomy places the organism in Eukaryota, Viridiplantae, Streptophyta, Magnoliopsida, Proteales, Nelumbonaceae.